RNAcentral lists this small RNA (55 nucleotides) under Arabidopsis thaliana (thale cress). RNAcentral's name for it is "ATSL207870". Lineage: Eukaryota; Viridiplantae; Streptophyta; Magnoliopsida; Brassicales; Brassicaceae. The record is from RNAcentral.
GAGUACUUUAUAGACGUACACGGCGCGAUUAUGAGAGGUACACAGUAUUUUGUUU